AAUAAUUCUGUGAAGAGAAAGAGUAAAUUUUAGUAACUAAUCUAAAGAGAGUUGAUAUUUGCUGAAAGUCAACGUUUAGUCUAUAAUUGAAAAUCAUCUCUGAGAAGUAAACCUGAAAUUUAUUAAGGUUUAAUGGAAGUCCACCAUUAUAAGGAACAGAUAUGUUUGUAUCUUGAUUAAGUGCUAUUUAACUUUGUACUCAUAAAUAUAAAGUUUGAUAGAAUUAGGGUGGUAACACGUGCCUAUUAGCUCGUCCCUUUU
Molecule: non-coding RNA, 261 nt
Filed under: Clostridium cavendishii
Lineage: Bacteria; Bacillati; Bacillota; Clostridia; Eubacteriales; Clostridiaceae
Description: T-box sequence
Rfam family: T-box leader
About the family: Uncharged tRNA acts as the effector for transcription antitermination of genes in the T-box leader family. T-boxes are found upstream of many aminoacyl-tRNA synthetase genes and some amino acid biosynthetic genes usually in Gram-positive bacteria.
Source: RNAcentral